This is a long non-coding RNA of Rhincodon typus (whale shark), 360 nucleotides long. RefSeq lists it as uncharacterized. The record is from RefSeq and is a predicted model, not a curated record. The transcript has 2 exons. NCBI's taxonomy places the organism in Eukaryota, Metazoa, Chordata, Chondrichthyes, Orectolobiformes, Rhincodontidae.
CACUUGGGUGAGAUAUCACAGUGCAGUUAAACUCCAUAAAACUGUAUCACAAAACAUGCCAGCAUUUCCAAGAAGAAAGAAAAUUAGGGAGAAAAAUAUCUUCACCAAAGUGCUUGUCUUCUGUGCCUGGCUAUUUGUAACACUGUAUAAGAGAGAAAGUUUCAUUCCACAUUGUGGGUCUUCACCUCGGACCAGGAUCGCGUACGGUGCCAGGAAGAAGCUCAACUUCCAGACCAGCUGUCAAUCAAGGGGUUCCUAACGGACAGAAGGGCGUGAAGUUCAUUUCUUUUCCCCUCUUUUCCAUUCUUUUUAUUAACUUAAUAAAUGAUACUUUCUUUUUUGUCUUUUAUUAUUACUCAA